Molecule: non-coding RNA, 31 nt
Filed under: Macaca fascicularis (crab-eating macaque)
Lineage: Eukaryota; Metazoa; Chordata; Mammalia; Primates; Cercopithecidae
Also listed under: 1 other name
Source: RNAcentral
UUAAUCCUCACAUUUAUGAAUACAGGAAUUA